GAUCCUGGCUCAGGAUGAACGCUAGCUACAGGCUUAACACAUGCAAGUCGAGGGGAAACGACAUCGAAAGCUUGCUUUUGAUGGGCGUCGACCGGCGCACGGGUGAGUAACGCGUAUCCAACCUGCCCACCACUUGGGGAUAACCUUGCGAAAGUAAGACUAAUACCCGAUGAUAUCCCUAGAAGACAUCUGAAAGGGAUUAAAGAUUUAUCGGUGAUGGAUGGGGAUGCGUCUGAUUAGCUUGUUGGCGGGGUAACGGCCCACCAAGGCUACGAUCAGUAGGGGGUUCUGAGAGGAAGGUCCCCCACAUUGGAACUGAGACACGGUCCAAACUCCUACGGGAGGCAGCAGUGAGGAAUAUUGGUCAAUGGACGAGAGCCUGAACCAGCCAAGUAGCGUGCAGGAUGACGGCCCUAUGGGUUGUAAACUGCUUUUAUAAGGGAAUAAAGUGAGCCUCGUGAGGCUUUUGCAUGUACCUUAUGAAUAAGGACCGGCUAAUUCCGUG
RNAcentral lists this ribosomal RNA (505 nucleotides) under uncultured bacterium. RNAcentral describes it as "bacterial SSU rRNA". It matches the Rfam family "Bacterial small subunit ribosomal RNA", at positions 15 to 507 of the family's 1533-position model. The record is from RNAcentral.